GUUAAGAAGAAAGCUGGGAAAGUGAAGGAGAGGGGGAAGAAAGGAAGUGAAAAGACUUUGGCUGUUGGAAUCUCAGAUCUGGAAUAGGCUGUAUAGGCUAUUUAUAAUCUCUAAUUGCCGAGGAACCUGAAGUUCAGAGUUAACCAGUGACUGACUCAGGACAUGCAAAAUGGCAAGACCCGAGGUAGAAGAGCUCACCUUUCCUGACUCUCAGUUUCCUGUUCCCUGAAAAUGUAAGCUAAGCUGGCAGCCCUGGUGAGUCCGGAGGAAGAAGGAGGCGUAGCCCUCCGCGCUCAGGAGAUCCAGGGCCCAGGAGAGAGAAAAGGGGGGACAAGAACGAGGGGAAAAGUGGAGAAGAGAAACCAAAAUAGGGUGUGUCCCAAGUAAAUAAAUGUGCGUCGAGCCCGCCAAGCACAUUCUCUCAUAGGGACCCUUGCGCCUGCUGUUCGCGUUUCCUGGAAUGCACACUCAGGUGUCUGCACCAGCUCAAGUCUCUGCUCAAAAGUGACCUCUUCGGAUAAAACUUCUCUGACCAUCCUAUCCAAGGUGGUAAUUAUUCCACCAAUUUUUGGUUUAAGUUUAUAUACCAAAGCACUUAUCACCAACUAGCAUAUGAAUCUAGGAGUUCUUAACCAGAAGUGUGAUUCAUGAGUGGGCUUCGGGAAAUCUGUGAACUUCCUGAAAUAUUAUGCAAAUUUAGUGGCCAUGUGUGCCAUCUGAACAUCUGUCUAAGGAGAAACUGCAGAUGGCUCUCUCUAGCGCAAUGGCUUGUAAUUUUUUCUUUAACUGUGGUCACCUUUGAGAAUCUGCAUUGUUCUACAAAGAGCCAUCUAGAAACUGAGGAAAUUCCAGGUUAGACUAAGCGCUUGGAUUUUAAAAUACUUUAUUCUGGUCAACCUCUCCAGAUUGCUGGGUAGGAGAUGGCAACCAGUGAUCCUGUGAAACAUACCUUAGGCUUAUCAGAAAACCACCUAGUUUGGGGAGGGCGGGUUCUUUCUAGACUUGGUAAUCCUUCCAGUGCUUUGUUUUUUCAGGAAAAGUAUGUGUUUCUGGGAUAGACAAAAAGGCCUGUGAUGAGUAGGGAUGUAGAAGUUGCUUAUUACUAGGCUUGAAAUCUUGGCUGUUUCCACUCUAUCUUGCCCCUACUGUUUACUGAAGUGUCGCCUAACAAAUUGAAUUGGAAGAGAGAAAAAAACCUUGAAUUUCAUCGGAGAAGCUUAGUAGUAACGCUACACUGUCAUAUUUCUUGGCCUUAUCCUAUGUUCACUUAACACAAUUUGCUAAUACUUGAUUUUGGGACCAAUAUGGAUACUAACAUACUUUCCUUGUUCGGAUCAACAGAUCCUGACUGUCAUCAGCAACCUGCUUACUCCUGUAUAACACUGCCAAUUAUAUAAUUUAAAAUCUCUAAGUUAAACACUGCCUCAUGUUCUCAGUUCUAGUUUCAAGGUUGCAUGGUGUAAUUAAAAGAACACUGACUUUUUUUUUUUUCAGAGAUGGGGUCUUACUGUAUUGCCCAGGCUUGUCUCAAAUUCCUGGGCUCAAGACCUCCUCUCACCUUGGCCUCCAAAAGUGCUGGGAUUACAGGCAUGAGUCACUGUGCCCAACUGAAAGAACACCGAUUUUUAACACCUAGAAUACUAGAUCCCAUCCCCAGUUUUGUCAUUCGUUAGCUGUGACCUGGACAAGUUUCUACACUUGUCUAACAGGGUAAAUAAAACCUACCCUGGUACCUCAAAAGGUUAUUAUGAGAAUCGGGUGGCGUAAUGGAUGCAAAGAUGCUUUGUCACCCGUAAAGUGCUAUAUGUAGGUCCAUGCAGUACUAUUCAAAUACCACUGAAGUAUCAAAAUCAUAGAAUGUUAGAGCUGGAAGAGAUUUUAGGAGCUCAGCAAGCCCCAUUAUUUCAAAGACGAAGAGGCCAGGUG
RNAcentral lists this long non-coding RNA (1926 nucleotides) under Homo sapiens (human). RNAcentral's name for it is "non-protein coding lnc-AKAP3-3:3". Lineage: Eukaryota; Metazoa; Chordata; Mammalia; Primates; Hominidae. The record is from RNAcentral.